This 382-nucleotide ribosomal RNA is filed under the name uncultured bacterium. RNAcentral describes it as "bacterial SSU rRNA". It matches the Rfam family "Bacterial small subunit ribosomal RNA", at positions 43 to 455 of the family's 1533-position model. The record is from RNAcentral.
CAGGCCUAACACAUGCAAGUCGAACGCACCGCAAGGUGAGUGGCAGACGGGUGAGUAACACGUGGGAAUCUACCCGACCCUUCGGAACAACUCUGGGAAACUGGAGCUAAUACCGGAUACGCCCUUCGGGGGAAAGAUUUAUCGGGGUGGGAUGAGCCCGCGUCGGAUUAGCUAGUUGGUGGGGUAAAGGCCUACCAAGGCGACGAUCCGUAGCUGGUCUGAGAGGAUGAUCAGCCACACUGGGACUGAGACACGGCCCAGACUCCUACGGGAGGCAACAGUGGGGAAUAUUGGACAAUGGGCGCAAGCCUGAUCCAGCCAUGCCGCGUGAGUGAUGAAGGCCCUAGGGUUGUAAAGCUCUUUCACCGGUGAAGAUAAUGAC